Molecule: non-coding RNA, 30 nt
Filed under: Rattus norvegicus (Norway rat)
Lineage: Eukaryota; Metazoa; Chordata; Mammalia; Rodentia; Muridae
Source: RNAcentral
UGCAUUUUUAAACAUGCAGUGGGAUUUAAC